CAGAGCCGCGGUAAAACGUAGGUGGCAAGCGUUGUCCGGAAUUAUUGGGCGUAAAGGGCUCGCAGGCGGUUUCUUAAGUCUGAUGUGAAAGCCCCCGGCUCAACCGGGGAGGGUCAUUGGAAACUGGGAAACUUGAGUGCAGAAGAGGAGAGUGGAAUUCCACGUGUAGCGGUGAAAUGCGUAGGGAUGUGGAGGAACACCAGUGGCGAAGGCGACUCUCUGGCCUGUAACUGACGCUGAGGAGCGAAAGCGUGGGGAGCGAACAGGAUUAGAGACCCCUGUAGUCCCUGUCUCUUAUACA
This 301-nucleotide ribosomal RNA is filed under the name uncultured bacterium. Its description in RNAcentral is "partial 16S ribosomal RNA". It matches the Rfam family "Bacterial small subunit ribosomal RNA", at positions 509 to 808 of the family's 1533-position model. The record is from RNAcentral.